RNAcentral lists this ribosomal RNA (252 nucleotides) under Croceifilum sp. Its description in RNAcentral is "partial 16S ribosomal RNA". It matches the Rfam family "Bacterial small subunit ribosomal RNA", at positions 524 to 776 of the family's 1533-position model. RNAcentral also lists the same sequence under 1 other name. Lineage: Bacteria; Bacillati; Bacillota; Bacilli; Caryophanales; Thermoactinomycetaceae. The record is from RNAcentral.
UACGUAGGUGGCAAGCGUUGUCCGGAAUUAUUGGGCGUAAAGCGCGCGCAGGCGGUUCUUUAAGUUGGGUGUCAAAGGCAGCGGCUCAACCGCUGUACGCACCCAAAACUGGAGAACUUGAGUGCAGGAGAGGAUAGUGGAAUUCCCGGUGUAGCGGUGGAAUGCGUAGAGAUCGGGAGGAACACCAGUGGCGAAGGCGACUGUCUGGCCUGUAACUGACGCUGAGGCGCGAAAGCGUGGGGAGCAAACAGG